CUACGGGGCAGCAGUGAGGAAUAUUGCACAAUGGGGGGAACCCUGAUGCAGCAACGCCGCGUGGAGGAUGACGCAUUUCGGUGUGUAAACUCCUUUUAUAUGUCAAGAAAAUGACGGUAGCAUAUGAAUAAGCACCGGCUAACUCCGUGCCAGCAGCCGCGGUAAUACGGAGGGUGCAAGCGUUACUCGGAAUCACUGGGCGUAAAGGACGCGUAGGCGGGUUGGAAAGUCAGGUGUGAAAUCCUACAGCUUAACCGUAGAACUGCACUUGAAACUUCUAAUCUAGAGUAUGGGAGGGGGAGAUGGAAUUAGUGGUGUAGGGGUAAAAUCCAUAGAUAUCACUAGGAAUACCUAAAGCGAAGGCGAUCUCCUGGAACAUUACUGACGCUAAGGCGUGAAAGCGUGGGGAGCAAACAGGAUUAGAUACCCUCGUAGUC
RNAcentral lists this ribosomal RNA (437 nucleotides) under uncultured bacterium. RNAcentral describes it as "partial 16S ribosomal RNA". It matches the Rfam family "Bacterial small subunit ribosomal RNA", at positions 339 to 795 of the family's 1533-position model. The record is from RNAcentral.